RNAcentral lists this small RNA (889 nucleotides) under Pongo abelii (Sumatran orangutan). RNAcentral describes it as "processed transcript". The record is from RNAcentral. Lineage: Eukaryota; Metazoa; Chordata; Mammalia; Primates; Hominidae.
GCAUCCGUGGCCUGGGACUCAUGGUUCCAUGAUUGAUCCUGGUGACCCAUGGCUCUGGAUUAUAAAACUAUACUUUCUCAAACCUGUAUUUGGCAAAUCUAGGGGUGAAAUAAAACCAAAUGGAAGAGAAAAUCAAGACUGAUUUUCAGACUUUUAAGACAGCUCUCCUUUGUCCAUUCUAGGUGUUUUUCCACAGCAGGCAAAGAUGCAGUUGAAGAGACGGUCUGUGUGUCUGUUCUCAAGCUCUGGCAAGCAGUGUGCAGCGGGAACGAGGAAAACCAGCAUGUGCUAGUGAUGCACCAUGACAGGGCCAGGCUGUUGGCCGCCCUCUUGUCCUCCAAGGUCCUGGCCAUCCGGCAGCAGAGCCUUGCCCUGCUGCUGCAGCUCACCCAGACUGAGAGUGGACGGAGCCUGAUCAUCAACCACCUUGACCUGACCAGAUUAUUGGAAGCCCUGGUGUCAUUUCUUGAUUUCUCAGAUAAGGAGGCCAACACUGCUAUGGGACUGUUCACAGACUUGGCUCUGGAAGAAAGAUUCCAAGUCUGGUUCCAGGCCAACCUUCCAGGUGUUCUCCCUGCACUCACAGGCGUUCUGAAGACAGAUCCCAAAGUAAGCAGCUCCUCGGCUCUGUGCCAGUGCAUUGCCAUCAUGGGAAACCUCAGUGCUGAGCCUGCUACCCGAAGACACAUGGCGGCCUGUGAGGAAUUUGGGGAUGGCUGCUUGGACCUCCUGGCCAGGUGUGAGGAGGAUGUGGACCUGUUCAGAGAGGUUAUCUACACACUCCUGGGACUCAUGAUGAACCUGUGUCUUCAGGCUCCCUUUGUCUCUGAGGUUUGGGCUGUGGAGGUGAGCAGAAGGUGCCUGUCUUUACUAAACAGCCAGGAUGGAG